CGCUGGCGGCGUGCCUAACACAUGCAAGUCGAACGGAAACCAGGCGCUUCGGAGACUUCGGUCAAUGUUUGCUUGGUUUUAGUGGCGGACGGGUGAGUAACGCGUGGAUAACCUGCCUCAUACAGGGGGAUAACAGUUAGAAAUGACUGCUAAUACCGCAUAAGCGCACGGGAUCGCAUGGUCUUGUGUGAAAAACUCCGGUGGUAUGAGAUGGAUCCGCGUCUGAUUAGCUAGUUGGCGGGGUAACAGCCCACCAAGGCGACGAUCAGUAGCCGGCCUGAGAGGGUGAACGGCCACAUUGGGACUGAGACACGGCCCAAACUCCUACGGGAGGCAGCAGUGGGGGAUAUUGCACAAUGGGGGAAACCCUGAUGCAGCGACGCCGCGUGAGUGAAGAAGUAUUUCGGUAUGUAAAGCUCUAUCAGCAGGGAAGAUAAUGACGGUACCUGACUAAGAAGCACCGGCUAAAUACGUGCCAGCAGCCGCGGUAAUACGUAUGGUGCAAGCGUUAUCCGGAUUUACUGGGUGUAAAGGGAGCGUAAACGGCAAAGCAAGUCUGAUGUGAAAGCUAUGGGCUCAACCCAUAAACUGC
RNAcentral lists this ribosomal RNA (592 nucleotides) under uncultured rumen bacterium. RNAcentral describes it as "bacterial SSU rRNA". It matches the Rfam family "Bacterial small subunit ribosomal RNA", at positions 34 to 624 of the family's 1533-position model. The record is from RNAcentral.